RNAcentral lists this ribosomal RNA (391 nucleotides) under uncultured bacterium. Its description in RNAcentral is "bacterial SSU rRNA". It matches the Rfam family "Bacterial small subunit ribosomal RNA", at positions 994 to 1388 of the family's 1533-position model. The record is from RNAcentral.
AUUACUCUUAAUCAGGGAAGUCCCUUCGGGGACAGGAUGACAGGUGGUGCAUGGUUGUCGUCAGCUCGUGUCGUGAGAUGUUGGGUUAAGUCCCGCAACGAGCGCAACCCUUAUUGUUAGUUGCCAUCAUUAAGUUGGGCACUCUAGCGAGACUGCCCGGGUUAACCGGGAGGAAGGUGGGGAUGACGUCAAAUCAUCAUGCCCCUUAUGUCUAGGGCUACACACGUGCUACAAUGGUCGGUACAAUAAGACGCAAGCCCGCGAGGGGGAGCAAAACUGGAAAACCGAUCUCAGUUCGGAUUGUAGGCUGAAACUCGCCUACAUGAAGCUGGAGUUGCUAGUAAUCGCGAAUCAGCAUGUCGCGGUGAAUACGUUCCCGGGUCUUGUACAC